UAGGGAAUAUUGGGCAAUGGAGGCAACUCUGACCCAGCCACGCCGCGUGAAGGAAGACGGCCCUCUGGGUUGUAAACUUCUUUUAUACAGGAAGAAAAAGGCUAUCGUGAAUAGCAACUGACGGUACUGUAAGAAUAAGGAUCGGCUAACUCCGUGCCAGCAGCCGCGGUAAUACGGAGGAUCCAAGCGUUGUCCGGAUUCAUUGGGUUUAAAGGGUGCGUAGGCGGGAUAUUAAGUCAGUGGUGAAAGC
Molecule: ribosomal RNA, 250 nt
Filed under: uncultured bacterium
Lineage: Bacteria
Description: partial 16S ribosomal RNA
Rfam family: Bacterial small subunit ribosomal RNA
Source: RNAcentral